GACAGAGGAUGCAAGCGUUAUCCGGAAUGAUUGGGCGUAAAGCGUCUGUAGGUGGCUUUUUAAGUCCGCCGUCAAAUCCCAGGGCUCAACCCUGGACAGGCGGUGGAAACUACCAAGCUGGAGUACGGUAGGGGGCAGAGGGAAUUUCCGGUGGAGCGGUGAAAUGCGUAGAGAUGCGGAGGAACACCAGUGGCGAAAGCGACUUUCUGGUCCUUAACUGACGCUGAGGCGCGAAAGCAUGGGGAGCGAACGGG
This 254-nucleotide ribosomal RNA is filed under the name uncultured bacterium. RNAcentral's name for it is "partial 16S ribosomal RNA". It matches the Rfam family "Bacterial small subunit ribosomal RNA", at positions 524 to 776 of the family's 1533-position model. The record is from RNAcentral.